GAGAGAUUCAGGCUUUCAGUCCAGCUGAAUAGAAGUGCAGCCCUGACUGAGCAGUUCAGCUCGGCAAAAAGAGCUGGAGCACAAUGGGAAAUCCUCCCUUGUCAGUAAUCCCACAGCAUCUCUCUCCAAAGCUGUUUUCCUUACUUCCCAGGAAGGAAUAAGCAUGGAAAGAAACUUCACUGAAGAGCAUGGGCUGAAAACAUGAAUUUCCAUAUUUCAUUUCCAUGUAAAGACAUUUGAAGACUUGAAAAUUAAAAUUGUCUGGUUUGAACUAAUUUGGUUUUAAUUAAUAAUUCUGCUCUUCAGUCACUUCUGACCAAUUUAUCACUCCUCAAUAUUUUUGUUGUUUAUUCCUAUUUGGAAACAAUAAUUGAAUGUAAAAUUUAAUAAAUAAUAUGAU
Molecule: long non-coding RNA, 400 nt
Organism: Pyrgilauda ruficollis (rufous-necked snowfinch)
Lineage: Eukaryota; Metazoa; Chordata; Aves; Passeriformes; Passeridae
Exons: 2
Source: RefSeq, a predicted model, not a curated record